This 464-nucleotide ribosomal RNA is filed under the name Vreelandella stevensii. RNAcentral describes it as "partial 16S ribosomal RNA". It matches the Rfam family "Bacterial small subunit ribosomal RNA", at positions 338 to 795 of the family's 1533-position model. The record is from RNAcentral. Lineage: Bacteria; Pseudomonadati; Pseudomonadota; Gammaproteobacteria; Oceanospirillales; Halomonadaceae.
CCUACGGGGGGCAGCAGUGGGGAAUAUUGGACAAUGGGCGAAAGCCUGAUCCAGCCAUGCCGCGUGUGUGAAGAAGGCCUUCGGGUUGUAAAGCACUUUCAGUGGGGAAGAAAGCCUUGGGGCUAAUACCCUCGAGGAAGGACAUCACCCACAGAAGAAGCACCGGCUAACUCCGUGCCAGCAGCCGCGGUAAUACGGAGGGUGCGAGCGUUAAUCGGAAUUACUGGGCGUAAAGCGCGCGUAGGCGGUCUGAUAAGCCGGUUGUGAAAGCCCCGGGCUCAACCUGGGAACGGCAUCCGGAACUGCAGGGCAGGGGGGCAGGAGAGGAAGGAAGAAUCCCGGGGGUGGGGGUAAAAGGGGAGAGGACCGGGGGGAAUACCGGUGGCGAAGCGGCCUUCUGGACUGACACUGACGCUGAGGUGCGAAAGCGUGGGUAGCAAACAGGAUUAGAUACCCGUGUAGUC